AGGAGAGUUUGAUCCUGGCAGAUGUUACUGCUAUUGGGAUUCGAUUAAGCCAUGCAAGUCGAACGAAUUUAGAUUCGUGGCGUACGGCUCAGUAACACGUGGAUAACCUACCCUUAGGACUGGGAUAACCCUGGGAAACUGGGGCUAAUACCGGAUAGGCAAUUAUUCCUGCAAUGGUUUUUUGUUUAAAUGUUUUUUCGCCUAAGGAUGGGUCUGCGGCCGAUUAGGUAGUUGGUUAGGUAAUGGCUUACCAAGCCGUUGAUCGGUACGGGUUGUGAGAGCAAGAGCCCGGAGAUGGAACCUGAGACAAGGUUCCAGGCCCUACGGGGCGCAGCAGGCGCGAAACCUCCGCAAUGUGAGAAAUCGCGACGGGGGGAUCCCAAGUGCCAUUCUUAACGGGAUGGCUUUUCAUUAGUGUAAAGAGCUUUUGGAAUAAGGGCUGGGCAAGACCGGUGCCAGCCGCCGCGGUAACACCGGCAGCUCUAGUGGUAGCAGUUUUUAUUGGGCCUAAAGCGUCCGUAGCCGGUUUAAUAAGUCUCUGGUGAAAUCCUGUAGCUUAACUGUGGGAAUUGCUGGAGAUACUAUUAGACUUGAGAUCGGGAGAGGUUAGAGGUACUCCCAGGGUAGAGGUGAAAUUCUGUAAUCCUGGGAGGACCGCCUGUUGCGAAGGCGUCUAACUGGAACGAUUCUGACGGUGAGGGACGAAAGUUAGGGGCGCGAACCGGAUUAGAUACCCUGGUAGUCCCCU
Molecule: ribosomal RNA, 748 nt
Filed under: uncultured euryarchaeote
Lineage: Archaea; Methanobacteriati; Methanobacteriota
Description: bacterial SSU rRNA
Rfam family: Archaeal small subunit ribosomal RNA
Source: RNAcentral